Molecule: transfer RNA, 64 nt
Filed under: Phoetalia pallida
Lineage: Eukaryota; Metazoa; Arthropoda; Insecta; Blattodea; Blaberidae
Description: tRNA-Arg
Source: RNAcentral
GAAUUUGAAGCAAUUUUGCAAUUAGUUUCGACCUAAUCAUUUGGUAUUAAAUUACCCUAAUUCU